GUCCCAUCAGCUAGUUGGUAAGGUAAUGGCCUACCAAGGCAAUGACGGGUAGGGGACCUGAAAGGGUGGCCCCCCACAAUGGAACUGAAACACGGUCCAUACACCUACGGGUGGCAGCAGUAGGGAAUAUUAUAAAUGGACGAAAGUCUGAUCUAGCGACACCGCGUGUGCGAUGAAGGCCUUCGGGUUGUAAAGCACUUUUUGGAAGGAAUAGGAAGGAAGGUACUUCCAGAAUAAAUCUCGGCUAACUACGUGCCACCAGCCGCGGUAACACGUAGGAGGCAAACGUUAUCCGGAUUUACUGGGCGUAAAACGCGUGUAGGUGGUUCUGUAAAUAGGGCGUGAAAACUCCCGGCUCAACUGGGAGAGGCCGUUCUUAACUGCCGAGCUAGAGGAUGGUAGAGGGAGGUGGAAUUCCAGGUGUAGCGGUGGAAUGCGCAGAUAUCUGGAGGAACACACAGUGGCGAAAGCGGCCUCCUGGACCAUUCCUGACACUCUACACGAAAGCUAGGGUAGCAAACGGGAUUAUAGACCCCGGUAGUCCUAGCCCUAAACGAUGUAGACUAAACGUCGGUGGUGGAAUAGCUGUCGGUGUCCAAGCUACGCGAUAAAUCUACCGCCUGGGGGACUACGCCGCCAGGUUAAACUCACAAGGAAUUGACGGGUCCCCGCCACAAGCAGCGGAGCGUGUGGGUUUAUUUUCGUUGCUACCACAAAGAAACCUUUACCUCGGGGUUUGGACAUAUACAUUGGUGAGGGAGGAAAAAUUCUGGAACGCGACCCCCUCUGGGGAGCUGUUAACAGUGUUGCAUG
This 813-nucleotide ribosomal RNA is filed under the name uncultured bacterium B6. Its description in RNAcentral is "bacterial SSU rRNA". It matches the Rfam family "Bacterial small subunit ribosomal RNA", at positions 235 to 1047 of the family's 1533-position model. Lineage: Bacteria; Pseudomonadati; Bacteroidota. The record is from RNAcentral.